Molecule: ribosomal RNA, 368 nt
Filed under: uncultured eukaryote
Lineage: Eukaryota
Description: partial 18S ribosomal RNA
Rfam family: Eukaryotic small subunit ribosomal RNA
Source: RNAcentral
CAGUAGCGUAUAUUAAAGUUGUUGCAGUUAAAAUGCUCGUAGUUGAAGUUCGGAUGCAGCAGAGCUUGGAAACGCUGUUAUGGUGCUUCCGUUGCUUUUGCUUGUCCACAGUGCGUUGCAAGUACGUAUGUGCUUGUGCGUGCAUUUUACUUUAAGAAACAUAGGGUGUUCCACGCAUGUUACGGCAUGAAUAUUCCAGCAUGGGAUAAUCUGGUACGACUUCCAAUCUGCCAUUUUGGUUCGUAGGUUGGAAGUAAUGAUUAAUAGGGACUGUCGGGGGCAUUGGUAUUUGACUGUCAGAGGUGAAAUUCUUAGAUUCGUUGAGGACCAACCACUGCGAAAGCAUUUGUCAAGGAUGUCUCCAUUAA